Molecule: ribosomal RNA, 306 nt
Filed under: uncultured Candidatus Saccharibacteria bacterium
Lineage: Bacteria; Candidatus Saccharimonadota
Description: bacterial SSU rRNA
Rfam family: Bacterial small subunit ribosomal RNA
Source: RNAcentral
GAUGAGCGCUGGCGGCGUGCCUAAUACAUGCAAGUCGAGCGGUAAGGCCCCUUCGGGGGUACACGAGCGGCGGACGGCUGAGUAACACGUAGGAACGUACCCCAAAGUGAGGGAUAACUGCUCGAAAGAGUAGCUAAUACCGCAUGUGAUCUAAGGAUUAAAGCUUUAUGCGCUUUGGGAACGGCCUGCGUCCGAUUAGCUUGUUGGUGAGGUAAUAGCUCACCAAGGCGAUGAUCGGUAGCUGGUCUGAGAGGAUGAUCAGCCAGACUGGGACUGAGACACGGCCCAGACUCCUACGGGUGGCAG